Molecule: ribosomal RNA, 310 nt
Filed under: uncultured bacterium
Lineage: Bacteria
Description: partial 16S ribosomal RNA
Rfam family: Bacterial small subunit ribosomal RNA
Source: RNAcentral
UGGGGAAUAUUGGACAAUGGGGGCAACCCUGAUCCAGCAAUGCCGCGUGUGUGAAGAAGGUCUUCGGAUUGUAAAGCACUUUCGACGGGGACGAUGAUGACGGUACCCGUAGAAGAAGCCCCGGCUAACUUCGUGCCAGCAGCCGCGGUAAUACGAAGGGGGCUAGCGUUGCUCGGAAUGACUGGGCGUAAAGGGCGUGUAGGCGGUUUACACAGUCAGAUGUGAAAUCCCCGGGCUUAACCUGGGAGCUGCAUUUGAUACGUGUAGACUAGAGUGUGAGAGAGGGUUUGUGGAAUUCCCAGUGUAGAGG